UACGAAGGGGGCUAGCGUUGUUCGGAAUUACUGGGCGUAAAGGGCGCGUAGGCGGUGUGUCAAGUCAGGCGUGAAAGCCCCGGGCUCAACCUGGGAACCGCGCUUGAGACUGGCACGCUCGAGUUCGGGAGAGGUGAGUGGAAUUCCGAGUGUAGAGGUGAAAUUCGUAGAUAUUCGGAAGAACACCAGUGGCGAAGGCGGCUCACUGGCCCGUUACCGACGCUCAGGCGCGACAGCGUGGGGAGCAAACAGG
RNAcentral lists this ribosomal RNA (253 nucleotides) under uncultured bacterium. RNAcentral's name for it is "partial 16S ribosomal RNA". It matches the Rfam family "Bacterial small subunit ribosomal RNA", at positions 524 to 776 of the family's 1533-position model. The record is from RNAcentral.